UCUACGGAGAGUUUGAUCCUGGCUCAGGAUGAACGCUAGCGGUAGGCUUAAUACAUGCAAGUCGAGGGAUAGUAUCACUUCGG
Molecule: ribosomal RNA, 83 nt
Filed under: Anaerolineales bacterium
Lineage: Bacteria; Bacillati; Chloroflexota; Anaerolineae; Anaerolineales
Description: partial 16S ribosomal RNA
Rfam family: Bacterial small subunit ribosomal RNA
Source: RNAcentral